AGUAAUACAUCGGAACGUACCCAGAAGUGGGGGAUAACGCAGCGAAAGUUGCGCUAAUACCGCAUACGUUCUACGGAAGAAAGUGGGGGACCUUCGGGCCUCAUGCUUUUGGAGCGGCCGAUGUCUGAUUAGCUAGUUGGUGGGGUAAAGGCUCACCAAGGCGACGAUCAGUAGCUGGUCUGAGAGGACGACCAGCCACACUGGAACUGAGACACGGUCCAGACUCCUACGGGAGGCAGCAGUGGGGAAUUUUGGACAAUGGGCGCAAGCCUGAUCCAGCAAUGCCGCGUGAGUGAAGAAGGCCUUCGGGUUGUAAAGCUCUUUUGUCAGGGAAGAAACGGCUGAGGUUAAUACCUUCGGCUAAUGACGGUACCUGAAGAAUAAGCACCGGCUAACUACGUGCCAGCAGCCGCGGUAAUACGUAGGGUGCAAGCGUUAAUCGGAAUUACUGGGCGUAAAGCGUGCGCAGGCGGUUUUGUAAGUCUGACGUGAAAUCCCCGGGCUCAACCUGGGAAUUGCGUUGGAGACUGCAAGGCUGGAGUCUGGCAGAGGGGGGUAGAAUUCCACGUGUAGCAGUGAAAUGCGUAGAGAUGUGGAGGAACACCGAUGGCGAAGGCAGCCCCCUGGGUCAAGACUGACGCUCAUGCACGAAAGCGUGGAGAGCAAACAGGAUUAGAUACCCUGGUAGUCCACGCCCUAAACGAUGUCUACUAGUUGUCGGGUUUUAAUUAACUUGGUAACGCAGCUAACGCGUGAAGUAGACCGCCUGGGGAGUACGGUCGCAAGAUUAAAACUCAAAGGAAUUGACGGGGACCCGCACAAGCGGUGGAGCGUGUGGUUUAAUUCGAUGCAACGCGAAGAACCUUACCUGGCCUUGACAUACAGAGAACUUUCCAGAGAUGGAUUGGUGCCUUCGGGAACUCUGAUACAGGUGCUGCAUGGCUGUCGUCAGCUCGUGUCGUGAGAUGUUGGGUUAAGUCCCGCAACGAGUGCAACCCUUGUCAUUAGUUGCUACGCAAGAGCACUCUAAUGAGACUGCCGGUGACAAACCGGAGGAAGGUGGGGAUGACGUCAAGUCCUCAUGGCCCUUAUGGGUAGGGCUUCACACGUCAUACAAUGGUACAUACAGAGGGCCGCCAACCCGCGAGGGGGAGCUAAUCCCAGAAAGUGUAUCGUAGUCCGGAUCGUAGUCUGC
This 1195-nucleotide ribosomal RNA is filed under the name uncultured beta proteobacterium. RNAcentral describes it as "bacterial SSU rRNA". It matches the Rfam family "Bacterial small subunit ribosomal RNA", at positions 109 to 1308 of the family's 1533-position model. Lineage: Bacteria; Pseudomonadati; Pseudomonadota; Betaproteobacteria. The record is from RNAcentral.